RNAcentral lists this small RNA (677 nucleotides) under uncultured Basidiomycota. Its description in RNAcentral is "eukaryotic LSU rRNA". It matches the Rfam family "Eukaryotic large subunit ribosomal RNA", at positions 41 to 702 of the family's 3401-position model. The record is from RNAcentral. Lineage: Eukaryota; Fungi; Basidiomycota.
GAUUCUUGGUCAUUUUAGAGGAAGUAACAAGGAUUCCCCUAGUAACUGCGAGUGAAGCGGGAAAAGCUCAAAUUUAAAAUCUGGCGGUCUCCGGCCGUCCGAGUUGUAAUCUAGAGAAGUGCCAUCCGCGCUGGACCGUGUACAAGUCUCCUGAAUGGAGCGUCAUAGAGGGUGAGAAUCCCGUCUUUGACACGGACUGCCAGGGCUUUGUGAUGCGCUCUCAAAGAGUCGAGUUGUUUGGGAAUGCAGCUCAAAAUGGGUGGUAAAUUCCAUCUAAAGCUAAAUAUUGGCGAGAGACCGAUAGCGAACAAGUACCGUGAGGGAAAGAUGAAAAGAACUUUGGAAAGAGAGUUAAACAGUACGUGAAAUUGCUGAAAGGGAAACGCUUGAAGUCAGUCGCGUUGGCCGGGGAUCAACCUUGCUUUUGCUGGGCGUACUUUCCGGUCGACGGGUCAGCAUCAAUUUUGACCGUUGGAUAAAGUUCAGGGGAAUGUGGCAUCUUCGGAUGUGUUAUAGCCCUUGGUCGCAUACAACGAUUGGGAUUGAGGAACUCAGCACGCCGCAAGGCCGGGUACUUGUACCACGUUCGUGCUUAGGAUGCUGGCAUAAUGGCUUUAAUCGACCCGUCUUGAAACACGGACCAAGGAGUCUAACAUGCCUGCGAGUGUUUGGGUGGA